UACGAAGGGGGCUAGCGUUGCUCGGAAUUACUGGGCGUAAAGGGCGCGUAGGCGGACAGUUUAGUCAGAGGUGAAAGCCCAGGGCUCAACCCUGGAAUUGCCUUUGAUACUGAUUGUCUUGAGUAUGGGAGAGGUGUGUGGAACUCCGAGUGUAGAGGUGAAAUUCGUAGAUAUUCGGAAGAACACCAGUGGCGAAGGCGACACACUGGCCCAUUACUGACGCUGAGGCUCGAAAGCGUGGGGAGCAAACAGG
Molecule: ribosomal RNA, 253 nt
Filed under: uncultured bacterium
Lineage: Bacteria
Description: partial 16S ribosomal RNA
Rfam family: Bacterial small subunit ribosomal RNA
Source: RNAcentral